Molecule: non-coding RNA, 216 nt
Organism: Pelobates cultripes (western spadefoot toad)
Lineage: Eukaryota; Metazoa; Chordata; Amphibia; Anura; Pelobatidae
Source: the annotation of a GenBank genome assembly
GUGUGCGGUCAGUCUUGGGCAGGUAGCUCGGUACGCUGUUUUUCCGACAACCUAGCUACCUGCCACAUCAUAAACAAAGGCCGAUCAGAGUCUCUAACGAUCAUGAGAAGACUGACCUGGCUGGCGGCCUGCACAUAGGGGAUACUGUUUUACUCGGGAGACUUCGCUGAACUCAAAUAUUAGUGUUUCAAACUGGUAAAUUGUAUUACAACGAUG